This 65-nucleotide transfer RNA is filed under the name Gasterophilus nasalis. Its description in RNAcentral is "tRNA-Thr". It matches the Rfam family "tRNA". Rfam says of the family: Transfer RNA (tRNA) molecules are approximately 80 nucleotides in length. Their secondary structure includes four short double-helical elements and three loops (D, anti-codon, and T loops). Lineage: Eukaryota; Metazoa; Arthropoda; Insecta; Diptera; Oestridae. The record is from RNAcentral.
GUUUUAAUAGUUUAAUGAAAACAUUGGUCUUGUAAACCAAAAAUAAGAAAAACUCUUUUAAAACU